RNAcentral lists this ribosomal RNA (484 nucleotides) under uncultured bacterium. Its description in RNAcentral is "partial 16S ribosomal RNA". It matches the Rfam family "Bacterial small subunit ribosomal RNA", at positions 30 to 507 of the family's 1533-position model. The record is from RNAcentral.
AUUGAACGCUGGCGGCAGGCCUAACACAUGCAAGUCGAGCGGAUGAAGGGAGCUUGCUCCUGGAUUCAGCGGCGGACGGGUGAGUAAUGCCUAGGAAUCUGCCUGGUAGUGGGGGCUAACGUCCGGAAACGGGCGCUAAUACCGCAUACGUUCUGAGGGAGAAAGUGGGGGAUCUUCGGACCUCACGCUAUCAGAUGAGCCUAGGUCGGAUUAGCUAGUUGGUGGGGUAAAGGCCUACCAAGGCGACGAUCCGUAACUGGUCUGAGAGGAUGAUCAGUCACACUGGAACUGAGACACGGUCCAGACUCCUACGGGAGGCAGCAGUGGGGAAUAUUGGACAAUGGGCGAAAGCCUGAUCCAGCCAUGCCGCGUGUGUGAAGAAGGUCUUCGGAUUGUAAAGCACUUUAAGUUGGGAGGAAGGGCAGUAAGUUAAUACCUUGCUGUUUUGACGUUACCAACAGAAUAAGCACCGGCUAACUUCGUG